RNAcentral lists this ribosomal RNA (406 nucleotides) under uncultured bacterium. RNAcentral's name for it is "partial 16S ribosomal RNA". It matches the Rfam family "Bacterial small subunit ribosomal RNA", at positions 30 to 526 of the family's 1533-position model. The record is from RNAcentral.
AUUGAACGCUGGCGGCAGGCCUAACACAUGCAAGUCGAACGAGUGCCUGACGGGUGUGUAAUGUCUGGGAAACUGCCUGAUGGAGGGUCAUACCUUCUGGCCACGGUAGCUAAUACCGCCUACCAUCGGACGUGCCCAGUCGGCGUUAGCUAGUAGGUGGGGUAAAGGCUCACCUAGGCGACGAUCCCUAGCUGGUCGUAGAGGAUGACCAGCCAGACUGGAACUGAGACACGGUCCAGACUCCUACGGGGGGCAGCAGUGGGGAAUAUUGCACAAUGGGCGAAAGCCUGAUGCAGACAUGCCGGGAGUAUGAAGAAGGCCUGCGGGUUGUAAGGUACUUUCAGCGGGGAGGCGUUACCCGCGGAAGGAGCACCGACUAACUCCGUGCACGCCGCCGCGGUAAUUC